GCUGGGUACAGCGUGUGCCUAUAGUUCCAGCUACCAGGAGGCUGAGGCAGGAAGAUCGCUUGAGCCCAGGAGUUCUGGGCUGUAGUGAGCUAUGUCGAUCAGGUGUCCACACUAAGCUCAGCAUGAGUAUGGUGACUCCCGGGAGUGCGGGACCACCAGAUUGCCUAAGGAGGGGUGAACCAGCCCAGGCUGUUAACAGAGCAGGUCAAAACUCCCAUGCUGCUCAGUAGUAGGAUUGUGCCUGUGAAUAGCUACUGCACUCCAGCCUGGGCAACAUU
This 278-nucleotide signal recognition particle RNA is filed under the name Macaca fascicularis (crab-eating macaque). RNAcentral describes it as "Metazoan signal recognition particle RNA (ENSMFAG00000008831.2)". It matches the Rfam family "Metazoan signal recognition particle RNA". From Rfam's summary of the family: The signal recognition particle (SRP) is a universally conserved ribonucleoprotein. The record is from Rfam by way of RNAcentral. Lineage: Eukaryota; Metazoa; Chordata; Mammalia; Primates; Cercopithecidae.